CUUCCCUGAAACUUCCCUUCCCUGAAACUUCCCUUCCCCUCCUUUUCCCCCCUUCUUUCUCCUUUUCCCCCCUUCCCUUUCUGUGCUGCACGUGUCCAGAGAACAGAACAGAGUUGGGAAUGGGUCUGGAGCACAAAUCUGAUGAGAAGCAGCUGAGGGAGCUUUGGGGGCUCAACCUAAAGAAAAGGAAGCUCAGGAGGGACCCUCUGGCUCUCCAAAAUUCCCUGACAGGAGGGUGCAGCCAGGUGGAGUUUAUUCACCCUGCAAAAGGCUCUAGCCCCUCUCACCCUUUCUGAGGAUGAGGGGACCAGGGAUGUUCAACAGGGUCAGCCCCAACCUCCUGAAACCCCAAAACAGACCAGGAAAUGCAGAACUGACCUCCCCAUCCCAUUUGGGACAUGGCACACAGGCCAAGGAAGGCUGAAAGGCUGCUGAGGACACCAAGGGACAGUCUGUUCUCCUUGUCCCUGAAGGGCAGGACAAGCACAGGACGUGCUACAAGCAAGGGAAAUGUGGGAUAAGGCAAAGCUUUCUGCUGGGCAGGGGUGAGCAAGGACCAGGACACACUGCCAGGAGGUUUGAGAGGUCUCUUAGAGCAAGCACCAGUUGCUGCUUCUUUUACAGAAACACCUGUUAAGGCUGGAGCUAGUGAGGGUCUGCUUGAAGCCACAGGUGGGCAUGAUGGCCUUGGGGGUCCCCUGUGGCUCUGAGUCCAUGGGAAAGGACAACCCAGCUGUCCUUGACUUCCAAGAGAAGGAGAAGAUGUAACAGGGCUUUGAACCUCAGCACAAAUCAGUGAGAACUUAAUAA
Oenanthe melanoleuca is the source of this 810-nucleotide long non-coding RNA. RefSeq lists it as uncharacterized. Lineage: Eukaryota; Metazoa; Chordata; Aves; Passeriformes; Muscicapidae. The transcript is spliced from 3 exons. The record is from RefSeq and is a predicted model, not a curated record.